This 253-nucleotide ribosomal RNA is filed under the name uncultured bacterium. Its description in RNAcentral is "partial 16S ribosomal RNA". It matches the Rfam family "Bacterial small subunit ribosomal RNA", at positions 524 to 776 of the family's 1533-position model. The record is from RNAcentral.
UACGGGGGGGGCAAGCGUUGUUCGGAAUUACUGGGCGUAAAGGGCUCGUAGGCGGCCAACUAAGUCGGAUGUGAAAUCCCCAGGCUCAACUUGGGAACUGCAUCCGAUACUGGAUGGCUUGAAUUCGGGAGAGGGAUGCAGAAUUCCAGGUGUAGCGGUGAAAUGCGUAGAUAUCUGGAGGAAUACCGGUGGCGAAGGCGGCAUUCUGGACCGACAUUGACGCUGAGGAGCGAAAGCUAGGGGAGCAAACAGG